Long non-coding RNA from Oncorhynchus kisutch (coho salmon), 378 nucleotides. RefSeq lists it as uncharacterized. The transcript is spliced from 3 exons. NCBI's taxonomy places the organism in Eukaryota, Metazoa, Chordata, Actinopteri, Salmoniformes, Salmonidae. The record is from RefSeq and is a predicted model, not a curated record.
AUUCGGCAGUCGCCUGCAAUGUCGAACAAGAACACUGACUGCACUGCAUUACAGCAAAAGCCCUCUCGGUCAACACCACCUCAUAAAAUGAGGAAGUACAUUGUUUAUGAGGAUUGCCUGCUGCAGAUGUUCGAGAUAUGUCCAGCCGAACACGCAACACAGAGGAGACCAGCAAGGGGACCCUUCAGCAUCACGGACAUGUCCUUGCUUUGAGAGUUCCUAUAAAUGGAACAGGGAGUACACUUAAACCAGAAACAUGUAUGGAGCCAGAACAUGGAGUCUUGCAAGAUAAUGUGAUGAAGUCCAGUCUGACAGAUGGGCUUGAUACUGAUGUCUUUAAAUGUAGAAAGACCUGGCACUCAGCAUAAAAAAUGUAGU